Long non-coding RNA from Canis lupus familiaris (dog), 1330 nucleotides. RefSeq lists it as uncharacterized. Lineage: Eukaryota; Metazoa; Chordata; Mammalia; Carnivora; Canidae. The record is from RefSeq and is a predicted model, not a curated record. The transcript is spliced from 3 exons.
AGCCACCCAGGCAAGGUCACCUGGGUGAUAGCUAUUUAUAUUACUGGUUAAUUUUUCCUAAAGCUAGGUUACCUCCUAAGAACUUCAAAGAGUCAGGCAAAUCAGAGUCCAAUAAGUGUCUAUAUACUGCCUCUUGUGAUUAGUAUGAUUGGACCAGAUAGAGAAAUCUAAAGAUCAGCAUAGAUCUAAAUUAAAUAGCUUCAGUGCUGAUGUCAUCAAUCCCUGAUGCCUCUGUGCCUUCUUCUACCACACCCCCUAUUUGUAAAGCAGGAAGAGGGACAAAAAUGGAAAACUAGGAUGAGCAAGUCCCACCAGAGUUCCUUCUGUCUUCUGCCCAGAGAGCGAUAGCAGCAACUUGCUCAUGGAGUCUCAAGUUUUAAUCUUGAAGAAUAUGACCUAACUUCUUUGGGAUCUGGAAGUUGGCAGGGAGCAUCUUAUUCUAUUUCCGCUUUCUCACGGAUGACGUUUCUGGAAUCAGAUAUGCUCAAUUUGGGACCUGCUCUCUUCUUUGGGAAUCCUGACUCCUCCAUCCCCUACCACAUCCACAUGAAAACACCCUUUGGACAUCCUGAGUACCUCCACCAGUUGUUUGUAGCAAAAUUACUCACCCACUGAUUCCAAUGACAAAUGUUUUCAUAAUUAGCUUUGAAAAUCAAGUCUUCCUGAAAUUUCCUAAAAUUAAACAAACAAACAACAAAUCAAAUGCUUAUCACUGGGAUGUCUAAAGAAGUAAAAGAGUCUGAAAUUAAGAGAGCCAGCUGAGGGGGAAAGAUGACCAUGAUCUCUGGGCGACCGUGCCCCUGGAUUAGCCACACUCAGUAGAAGAGCUUCACAAGGUACCAGCUUCUCUCUGCUAGACUGACUCUAUGCUAAAUGCAACAACUGGUGUGUGCUCAACAGGCCAAAGUCUCAGAGAACACACAUUACAGAGUCUCAUAACUCUGAAAUUCAGUUUCAAGAUUCAGUUCCCUGGAGAUGACCUAUGUUAUUUCCCCUAUACCAGGAACCCACAGAGCUUGCCUCUCUCCCUCUUCAGAAAUGAGGGCAAAACAUCACUGCUGGUCAGAGGCAAAAGGAAGUUAAUUCCCUUUAAGGGUGUUAUUUCCUUACUCAAAAACCUAAGUCCAAGGCCAGGGUAGACAGAUUUCUUCAGAAAAGGGCCAGGUAGUAAAUAUUUGAGGUUUUGUGAGCCCAGAGGCAAACUCAAGCUUAUUACGUAGGUACUUAUGUAACAAGAGAGAAAACAGAUUUCUACAAUGUUUUUAACGAAAGUCAAAACAAAAUAAUUGAUUACAAUUUUGUUGUUGCAAUAAAUGUCUACUAAUGAGAA